AGAGGCUGUUAGGAGGACAGUAGCAAUCAGAAGUCACAGGUGGAUGGAUUCAUAAUGGUGAAGAAAAUCAGCCCUUCAAACAUCUGAGUGCAGGUUAGCACCAUGAUCUAAGAGACUUACUCAGAGUACUGAGAAAGUAACCAACUUCCCCUGCAUCACAUGGCCAGUAUCACAGAUACAAAUGAGGAUGAAUACCAACCAAAUGCCAGAUAUUUUAAAGCUUUAAAAAAAAUAGCAACUCACAUACCAAAUUAUGUUCUGGAUCACUGCAAAAGAAAUUACCUCUACUAACAAAUCACAAGGUGAUGGAAGACAGGAGCUUUUCUCCCUCAUUAAGAGUUU
This is a long non-coding RNA of Trichosurus vulpecula (common brushtail), 342 nucleotides long. RefSeq lists it as uncharacterized. The record is from RefSeq and is a predicted model, not a curated record. NCBI's taxonomy places the organism in Eukaryota, Metazoa, Chordata, Mammalia, Diprotodontia, Phalangeridae. The transcript has 3 exons.